RNAcentral lists this ribosomal RNA (556 nucleotides) under Dialister pneumosintes. RNAcentral's name for it is "bacterial SSU rRNA". It matches the Rfam family "Bacterial small subunit ribosomal RNA", at positions 381 to 929 of the family's 1533-position model. Lineage: Bacteria; Bacillati; Bacillota; Negativicutes; Veillonellales; Veillonellaceae. The record is from RNAcentral.
GUCUGACGGAGCAACGCCGCGUGAACGAAGAAGGUCUUCGGAUUGUAAAGUUCUGUGAUUCGGGACGAAAGGGUUUGUGGUGAAUAAUCAUAGACAUUGACGGUACCGAAAAAGCAAGCCACGGCUAACUACGUGCCAGCAGCCGCGGUAAUACGUAGGUGGCAAGCGUUGUCCGGAAUUAUUGGGCGUAAAGCGCGCGCAGGCGGUUUCUUAAGUCCAUCUUAAAAGCGUGGGGCUCAACCCCAUGAGGGGAUGGAAACUGGGAAGCUGGAGUAUCGGAGAGGAAAGUGGAAUUCCUAGUGUAGCGGUGAAAUGCGUAGAGAUUAGGAAGAACACCGGUGGCGAAGGCGACUUUCUAGACGAAAACUGACGCUGAGGCGCGAAAGCGUGGGGAGCAAACAGGAUUAGAUACCCUGGUAGUCCACGCCGUAAACGAUGGAUACUAGGUGUAGGAGGUAUCGACCCCUCCUGUGCCGGAGUUAACGCAAUAAGUAUCCCGCCUGGGGAAUACGAUCGCAAGAUUAAACUCAAAGGAAUUGACGGGGGCCCGCACAAC